This 592-nucleotide long non-coding RNA is filed under the name Lynx pardinus (Iberian lynx). The record is from RNAcentral. Lineage: Eukaryota; Metazoa; Chordata; Mammalia; Carnivora; Felidae.
GGCCAACUGCUGGCUCCUUCUGCAUCCUCUCCAUCCCUCUGGGAGCUCUAGAGCCAGUCCCAGUACAGUGCCUGGCACACAGUAGGCCCUCAGUAAAUACCCAUUGCACGAAUGGACUCCCAGCCUGUAGUCUUGUGACAUGUCUCCCUUUGGCUUAUGCCUGAUGGCUGAGAAGCUCCGUGUAUGUGGCUUAGCUUGUCACCUGGUUUAUAAUGGGUAGCAAGGCAAGGAGUGGGGAUGUGAUACACACAGGAAGGUUUGCCAACAGGUUCCUCUCCUUCUGCCAGAGCCCACAGGAGGUUUUGUGAGCUGCUUCCCCAGGAGCACCGGAGCACGGAGGAGUCACUGCACACACGAGUGUCCUUGGAGCAGAUCCUCAGCCUUCCAGAGCUCAAGGUGCCAGUCCCCCACCCUGCCUGUGCUAUUCAUCUUGAGAUCAUGUGGUCACUAGUCCCCCAUUCUGGUCUUUCCUCCAUUUAGUCCCAAUUUCCUGGGGACAAGGGCUUUAUCAAAAUCACCCAGUGGAAUUAACCAGAAUGGUGUUUUUCAAACUGGGAUUCUUGGACAUAUUAUUGGAGAGUCAAGUAAGUUU